Molecule: ribosomal RNA, 253 nt
Filed under: uncultured bacterium
Lineage: Bacteria
Description: partial 16S ribosomal RNA
Rfam family: Bacterial small subunit ribosomal RNA
Source: RNAcentral
GACGAACCGUCCAAACGUUACUCGGAAUCACUGGGCUUAAAGGGUGCGUAGGCGGCCUGGUAAGUUGGGUGUGAAAGCCCUCGGCUCAACCGAGGAAUUGCGCCCAAUACUGUCGGGCUUGAGGAAGAUAGAGGUGAGCGGAACUAAGGGUGGAGCGGUGAAAUGCGUUGAUAUCCUUAGGAACACCAGUAGCGAAAGCGGCUCACUGGGUCUUUUCUGACGCUGAGGCACGAAAGCUAGGGGAGCGAACGGG